CAAAAAGAUCAUCAAGCAAGAAAGCAAUUGGAUUCAAAUGUCGCCAGGGGAGGAUGGAGACUAAGCCUUUUCUGCAUCAACAUGGAGAUUUCACAGCCAUGUGAAGCUGGGAAUACACUUUUAACCUUCCAUUUUCCUUCUCAUAACUUCUGAACUUCUAUGCAGCCUGCUGAUAAAGCACUGUGUGAAAGAAGCAAGGCAACAGCAUCUCUUCUGGCUGCUCCUAAAGUGUCCAGCAAAGCACCCAG
Pogona vitticeps (central bearded dragon) is the source of this 248-nucleotide non-coding RNA. Lineage: Eukaryota; Metazoa; Chordata; Lepidosauria; Squamata; Agamidae. The record is from RefSeq and is a predicted model, not a curated record.